This is a non-coding RNA of Favolaschia claudopus, 93 nucleotides long. NCBI's taxonomy places the organism in Eukaryota, Fungi, Basidiomycota, Agaricomycetes, Agaricales, Mycenaceae. The record is from the annotation of a GenBank genome assembly.
GGUCAUAUAGCUCAAUGGCAGAGCACGAGGUCUGUGUAUUCAGGUUCACGACUAUCACCUUUCGCGUUCCAGGUUCGACUCCUGGCUUGACCU